Molecule: ribosomal RNA, 465 nt
Filed under: uncultured Klebsiella sp.
Lineage: Bacteria; Pseudomonadati; Pseudomonadota; Gammaproteobacteria; Enterobacterales; Enterobacteriaceae
Description: bacterial SSU rRNA
Rfam family: Bacterial small subunit ribosomal RNA
Source: RNAcentral
CCUACGGGUGGCUGCAGUGGGGAAUAUUGCACAAUGGGCGCAAGCCUGAUGCAGCCAUGCCGCGUGUGUGAAGAAGGCCUUCGGGUUGUAAAGCACUUUCAGCGGGGAGGAAGGCGGUGAGGUUAAUAACCUCAUCGAUUGACGUUACCCGCAGAAGAAGCACCGGCUAACUCCGUGCCAGCAGCCGCGGUAAUACGGAGGGUGCGAGCGUUAAUCGGAAUUACUGGGCGUAAAGCGCACGCAGGCGGUCUGUCAAGUCGGAUGUGAAAUCCCCGGGCUCAACCUGGGAACUGCAUUCGAAACUGGCAGGCUAGAGUCUUGUAGAGGGGGGUAGAAUUCCAGGUGUAGCGGUGAAAUGCGUAGAGAUCUGGAGGAAUACCGGUGGCGAAGGCGGCCCCCUGGACAAAGACUGACGCUCAGGUGCGAAAGCGUGGGGAGCAAACAGGAUUAGAUACCCGGGUAGUC